UCCUCGGCUCCAGCCUCCGCCGGCGGAGCCCACUAUGCCAGACAGUUUCGACACUUUGCAAAGACAAAGAGCCCUAGACCGGAGGGAGGAGGAGGAGGAAGAAGAGCGGAGAGAGAAGGAAGAGGCGAUGUGAGCUGGGAAGGGGGCAAGUGUCCGGGACACCCACACCCCUGUAUUCUCCUCCGAACCCCUUCAUGCCCAAAUCCCGGAAACUCCAGCGUGUCUCCAGCCGUGUUGGUACCAUUUUCAGAUUUCAUCUUCCUAAACUGGAAAUGUCAAUGAGAGGAAAUUAACACCCCCAAGAGCUGCAGUGAGCAAAUGCAUUGAGCUUGGGUCAGGACAAUUCCAUUUGGGGACCAGAGAUGGACGGUCACUCAGCCUAUGGAGAGAUGGUGUUUUGCUGUGCCACUCAGGCUGGUCUGGAACUACUGGGCUCAAGCAAUUCCCCAGCCUCAGCCUCCUAAAGCGUUGGGAUUUCAGAUGAAGAAACUGAGGUUCAGAGAGGUUAAGAGACUCCACUGAGGUCACACAGCCGAUGACAGACAACCUUCUGUGCCUUCAUCAAGCUGGUUGUGUACCCACCAUGUCCCUGGCGACAGGAUGGGAAAGAAAA
RNAcentral lists this long non-coding RNA (613 nucleotides) under Homo sapiens (human). Its description in RNAcentral is "non-protein coding lnc-NDRG1-7:1". Lineage: Eukaryota; Metazoa; Chordata; Mammalia; Primates; Hominidae. The record is from RNAcentral.